ACGGCUCAGUAACACGUAGUCAACAUGCCCAGAGGACGUGGAUAACCUCGGGAAACUGAGGAUAAACCGCGAUAGGUCAUAAUUACUGGAAUGUGUUAUGGCCCAAAUCUAUAUGGCCUCUGGAUUGGACUGCGGCCGAUCAGGCUGUUGGUGAGGUAAUGGCCCACCAAACCUUUUACCGGUACGGGCUCUGAGAGGAGGAGCCCGGAGAUGGGCACUGAGACAAGGGCCCAGGCCCUAUGGGGCGCAGCAGGCGCGAAACCUCUGCAAUAGGCGAAAGCCUGACAGGGUUACUCUGAGUGAUUCCCGCUAAGGGAAUCUUUUGGCAUCUCUAAAAAUGGUGCAGAAUAAGGGGUGGGCAAGUCUGGUGUCAGCCGCCGCGGUAAUACCAGCACCCCAAGUGGUCGGGACGAUUAUUGGGCCUAAAGCAUCCGUAGCCGGUCUUGCAAGUCUUCCGUUAAAUCCAGCUGCUUAACAGAUGGGCUGCGGAGGAUACUACAAGGCUAGGAGGCGGGAGAGGCAAACGGUACUCAGUGGGUAGGGGUAAAAUCCUUUGAUCUACUGAAGACCACCAGUGGCGAAGGCGGUUUGCCAGAACGCGCUCGACGGUGAGGGAUGAAAGCUGGGGGAGCAAACCGGAUUAGAUACCCGGGUAGUCCCAGCUGUAAACGAUGCAGACUCGGUGAUGGGUUGGCCUCGAGCCAACCCAGUGCCGCAGGGAAGCCGUUAAGUCUGCCGCCUGGGGAGUACGGUCGCAAGACUGAAACUUAAAGGAAUUGGCGGGGGAGCAC
This 791-nucleotide ribosomal RNA is filed under the name uncultured archaeon. RNAcentral describes it as "bacterial SSU rRNA". It matches the Rfam family "Archaeal small subunit ribosomal RNA", at positions 85 to 879 of the family's 1478-position model. The record is from RNAcentral.